RNAcentral lists this long non-coding RNA (1254 nucleotides) under Monodelphis domestica (gray short-tailed opossum). RNAcentral describes it as "lncRNA (ENSMODG00000041878.1)". The record is from RNAcentral. Lineage: Eukaryota; Metazoa; Chordata; Mammalia; Didelphimorphia; Didelphidae.
AUGCUGUAUUCAAUAAUAAUGGUUGACUUCACCUACUUCACAGUUUUGCAGAAAUCUAGUCCUGCCUGCCUUCCUCUCCUGGAUAUUUGGACAGGCGUCAGAAAAAUCAGCAGGAAAUGGAGAAUGAGCAUAUGUUCCGGCUCAGGGAGCCAAACACUUGGAAAGCUGAUCGGCAGACCCAGCUCCAGCAGAUGGCAGUAUGUCAAUGGGGAGUCUAGUAGAACUCUUUUCAAGAGGCUCCAAUUAAAUGACCUUGUACUCUUGCCAAAGCUGAAUGAACAGCUCAGUUGGAUCUCACGGCAUUAUUUGUUUGUCCUGUUAUUGAAUGAAAAUUGUUUUCAAGAUUUUAAUCCCAUUUUGCCUCACAGAGAUAAGUUCUUUCUCCAGUUUUCUAUGAUUCAUUCAAUUAGGAAAAUAUUAUUGAAUACCUGCAAUGUACAAGAUAUUACUCUAGGUAUUGUUUUGGGGGCAGGACAGCUUCUACUUCAAUUUAGGUUUUUCUUACUCUACAAUUAAAAUUACAACUGGUAUAUGCAUAGGUUUUUUUUAAUUGCUAAGUUUUUUAUAUACAUAAUCUCAACUGGGCCUCACAAUAACCCAAUGAAAUCGGUGUUCCAGGUAUUGUCUCCCUUUAACAGAUGAGGAAACAGGUUCAGAGAGACUAUGGCUGCACAACUAGAAUGCAUCAAAAGUGAGGUUUGAAAUCCGAUCUUCCUGAAGCCAAAUCCAGUAUUCUAGUAGAUAGCGUCUGUCUCCCUGGAUGCUUCUAAACUCAUGACUGAGUUUCUCAUCCACAUGUUUCCUUUUGAGGUCAAACAUAUUUAGGACUAUGGUAUAGAAUCUUCUUGGCAACAUUUCCAUUAUGAUUACUAUAUUCUUCAGUGGCAAAGGGAGGUGAGAAGUAUGACAAUUGAAAAAAUAUGGGACAAUAUAAAAAAGGAAUGGGACAACAAAAGAUAUUUAGAAGCAGUCUAGAGGAGAGAGGAGAGAAAGAAGAGGGAAGAAGAAGAAGAAGAAGAAGAAGAAGAAGAAGAAGAAGAAGAUGACGAAGAAGAAGAAGAGGAAAAAGGAAGAAGAAGAAGAAGAGGAAGAAGAAGAAGGAAGAAAAAGAACGAAGAAGAAGAGGAAGAAGAAGGAAGAAGAAGAGGGCAGAAGGAAGAAGAAGAAGAAGAGGAAGAAGAAGAGGGAAGAAGGAAGAAGAAGAAGAAGAGGAAGAAGGAAGAAGGAAGAAGAAGAAGAAGAGGAAGAAGAAGA